Molecule: long non-coding RNA, 1483 nt
Organism: Rosa rugosa (rugosa rose)
Lineage: Eukaryota; Viridiplantae; Streptophyta; Magnoliopsida; Rosales; Rosaceae
Exons: 3
Source: RefSeq, a predicted model, not a curated record
UUUUUUUCUUUGUAGGUUAUUGAUAGCGCCUCUGCCAAGAGUUAACUGCUCUUAGUUUCCCCUCUUUCACUCUCACCUAGAAUUAGUGAUUGAAGCCUCAAAUCGAUACCCAUCACAAAGUUCCUUUUUAGGUCGAAGAAUGUUGUCCGUCCUUCACCUUUGAAGUCGUCUUAGGGUUCCUCCCAUCAAUCUUUGGUUUGCCCUACUUUUCUAAUUGUGCAUACAUUUAAUUGAUGUGAUCAAGUUUUGUUUUCUUCUCAUAGUGCAGGAGAAACCCAAAACAAAUCAAGGCCUUCUAGAUUGGGCGUCCUUGUUCUUCAUAUGAUUGAUGGGUAAAUUAUAUAGUUUCUUUCAUGUGAUAUUUGUAUAUUAGUUAUCAAAGUCUAAUAGUUGAAUGUCAACAGGCAAAAGCCCUAAUUCUUAUUUGUUGAGUCUACCCUAAUUUGAUCUAAAAAGCAAAGGUACAUCUCUCUAUAGAUUUCUUGAUCUUUUCUGUUCAUGAUGAAUUUUAGGUAAAUUGAUUUUUAAGAGUUUUAACAGAAACGUAGAUUUUAAAAGAUGAGAAGUAUAAUUAAAGUUUGAGAAGUGUGAUGUUUCCUGACCUUGGAUGCCUAUAUACAGAUCAUGAGUCUAGCUACUUAAUUAUUGAGUGAAGCUUUUAUAGAUUAGAAUUUUGUUUCUUGAAUUUGAUUAAUUAUAUAUAUUAUAUGUGUGCGUCCACUUGAUUUCUCUAUUGAGUUCAUCCAAAUACUAACCCAUGUCUCUAUAUAAGUAGCUCUGUAAGUCUGCAUCUAAUCAAACUUAUUAAUAACUGGUUUGGUGUUUUCCUUUGCAAGAUUGUUUAAAUCAUUUAGUUGGGUACUUUUGCUUUAUUUAGUGAAAUCUCUUGACCCUAUUUUUUUAUCUAUGUUUCCUCCUCUGAUUUGGAUAGUUGUCUAAUGUUUAGGUUUUUCUUUUAUUUUUGCAAGGUUUUAAACUUCUAUUUAUGACAAGCACAUACUCUCGCUUGAGAUAAGGAUUCUAGUUUUUGGAAUGAUGUUGAUUUCUGAAGUUCCACUGUUCCAGUAAUACAAAUCACCAUGGGGAUUGGAGAGAUGAGUUUUGUUACAGCUUUGCCUCUUUUUUUCUUUUUUUUCUUUUUCAAACAUUUACAUCUUUGCUUUGAUUCUCUUGUUGAAGCACAAUUAUAGAUUGAUAAGUCCAUAUAAAUAUCAUUAUAAAAUAACUUGGUAGAUCGUAAGAGUGCAUAUAAAUUACAGUAAGUGAAUGAAAAUGGGAGGUCUGGAAUUUUGUUUACAGUAAGUGAGGCACUAUUUUUUUUCAUGACCAUGCUAAUUAAAUCUAAUUGUAUAUGUGCAGGGUUUCAAUCGAGAUUACAUACCAGACCUUACAUCCCCAUAUGAGUAUUUUUAAUACUAACAUUUGUAUAUGACAUUAGAAUAUUUUUUGUAUAAACAGUUAGAUCAUAUAUGAUGUUUACCUA